AAGUGUGUGCCAUAUGGGAUGUAGUUUUGUGUAUUUUUGUGCCUUUGGAGCCCCCUACAGUUAAGUGAGUGGAAUUCACUGUCGUAGGUGACAAAAUUUGCUGUACACGUGCAUUUAAUCCACCCUUUUCGCGGAAUUUCGUACGCUCAUCAGGCGUUUGGGAAGCGUGGGAAAGAAGCCGAUCGCAUUUGGAAGUCAGUGUACCAUUACAAUGACUUUAAAACUGUUAUUCCAAGAGCCAUCUAAUAUGACUUCUGAAGAUUGCUGGAAUAACACACACGAAUCAUAAGGACUACAUAUGUGGUACUUUCAUUUGCUUUUUGGUGCUUCACAGACACAAGUAUCGUCUGUUCCCUCAUCUGCUUGUUUCGUGAAUGAAAACAUUAUGAGAAGUAGGGUGUCACCGCCAAAAUUGAGAACCAUAUUAAGGUAACUGUUAGGCUCCUAUGUAUUAAUAAUAAUAACCUCUAAAUAAAUUGUUCUGCCACCAAGAAAUAUCCAAUUUAUCAAGUCGGAAAUGUGUUUGACUUUAAUAGCCAGUUUUAAAUCUACCACAUGAAGCAUAUUUUCACAAUGUUCAAUUCUGAUGCAUAACCUGAUUUAUGUUUCACUUUAUAAAUGUUAAAUCAGUUGAGCAAAACAGGAAAGUGGAAGCUUUUGUUAUUUGGGUUGAUUGGACAAGGCUACAUGAGUUAAUGUGUAUGACCUUUAAUUUCUCACAAAUUAACAUUUGGUGUCCUUUGAAAUGUUUGUCUCCCCUUCAGUGUGAUUUAUAUUUUGAAGUCAUUGUUGAUUUUAAUCACUUCAAAUGCCAAGUCUUGAUACCAAUCCUUCCAGCUCCAUAUAG
This is a long non-coding RNA of Cyprinus carpio carpio, 847 nucleotides long. Lineage: Eukaryota; Metazoa; Chordata; Actinopteri; Cypriniformes; Cyprinidae. The record is from Ensembl.